UACGGAGGGUGCAAGCGUUAAUCGGAAUUACUGGGCGUAAAGGGCGCGUAGGUGGCUCGGUAGGUCGGAUGUGAAAUCCCUGGGCUUAACCUGGGAACUGCAUUCGAUACUGCCGGACUCGAGUACAGUAGAGGAGAGCGGAAUUCCCGGUGUAGCGGUGAAAUGCGUAGAUAUCGGGAGGAACAUCAGUGGCGAAGGCGGCUCUCUGGACUGAUACUGACACUGAGGCGCGAAAGCGUGGGUAGCAAACAGG
Molecule: ribosomal RNA, 253 nt
Filed under: uncultured bacterium
Lineage: Bacteria
Description: partial 16S ribosomal RNA
Rfam family: Bacterial small subunit ribosomal RNA
Source: RNAcentral